AAGUGACGGUACCUGCAGAAGAAGCACCGGCUAACUACGUGCCAGCAGCCGCGGUAAUACGUAGGGUGCGAGCGUUAAUCGGAAUUACUGGGCGUAAAGCGUGCGCAGGCGGUUUUGUAAGUCAGAUGUGAAAUCCCCGAGCUCAACUUGGGAACUGCGUUUGAAACUACAAGACUAGAAUAUGUCAGAGGGGGGUAGAAUUCCACGUGUAGCAGUGAAAUGCGUAGAUAUGCGGAGGAACACCGAUGGCGAAGGCAGCCCCCUGGGCCUGUACUGACGCUCAUGCACGAAAGCGUGG
This 298-nucleotide ribosomal RNA is filed under the name Oxyrrhis marina. RNAcentral describes it as "partial Bacterial small subunit ribosomal RNA". It matches the Rfam family "Bacterial small subunit ribosomal RNA", at positions 467 to 764 of the family's 1533-position model. Lineage: Eukaryota; Dinophyceae; Oxyrrhinales; Oxyrrhinaceae. The record is from RNAcentral.